RNAcentral lists this long non-coding RNA (234 nucleotides) under Homo sapiens (human). RNAcentral's name for it is "HSALNT0371762". Lineage: Eukaryota; Metazoa; Chordata; Mammalia; Primates; Hominidae. The record is from RNAcentral.
GAACUUUGUUUCUCAACUUAGGUGUAAACAAAAUUCUCCUUUCCAUGAUUACUCAACAAGAUAGAUUGCAAGCUUUAUCAGUUCCAGACUGUGCAGCUUUUAUAUAUCAAGUCUUUACCGUUGUCCAGAGUGAAAAAUUCUUAAUUGAAUUAACCCAUAGUAAGUCUUCCAGUUUUUAUUGAAUUGGAGAUGCAUAAAUAGAUUUGCAUUUUUCUUGUACAAAUUGCGUUCCAC